RNAcentral lists this unclassified non-coding RNA (4108 nucleotides) under Haliotis rubra (blacklip abalone). Its description in RNAcentral is "lysosomal thioesterase PPT2-A-like, transcript variant X5". Lineage: Eukaryota; Metazoa; Mollusca; Gastropoda; Lepetellida; Haliotidae. The record is from RNAcentral.
AAUGUGUGAAGCCCAUUUCUGGUGUCCCCUGCCGUGAUAUAAACUUAAAUAAAAAAACAUCCAGGGAUUUAUCUAGCUCUUCCCAGAAGCAGAUAUUUGGUCGUUUCUACAGCAAAAUGUUUUAACAUUUAAAUGUAGGAAGUAAGAGCUGUCAUAAUUAUGGUUAAGUUUAAACUUUGGAAAUAACCUUAUUCAUGAGUUAAUUAAUAUAAAUAAUAUCAUUGUUUUCUCUCAAUUUGCCUGUGACAUGCAUUUUGUUUAUUUUCCAACAUAAACAUGUUUAGAAACCCCCGAUACCACGCAUGAGUCUUUCUGCCAUACACUUAUUGUUCACCACUGUUAUCAUGCUUCGAUGAACGCAACAUGUUGAAAGGCGAAAUAACUUGAACUGAUGAAUAAGCAGGCAGCUGAACAUGGAGAAUACAGCAUUAUGAUAACAGGUGUUAGCUAUCAUGGUUAUCUCUGUAUGUGGACCAAUGUGUGCUGGAUGAUAACAGUAUCACAUGGACACACGUGUGAUACUGUGUUAGUACACAGAUUGCUGUCUACAGGCACCUGCAGCACAUCAGUGACAAGUACAAAGCUGAGAAGACAAAUCCCACUGCAGGACUGGGGGACAUAUUUCCUGUCUGAAAAGAGACUGUGAUAUUUGGACGUUGCUGAAAGAGUCCCAACAGCCAUUGUGCCUUCCUUCAGCUGCCUUGUUUCACAUGCCUGGUUUCACCUUCUACUUCCAAUUGUCAUGGAAACUAGUCCCUCAAGGAUGAAGUCACUAGCGUUUUGUUUUUCAUAGAGCUAUGAAAGUCCAACUAGCCAUUUGUUUUAUAAGUAGACACAAAAGGAAAACAUCGUGAUGAGGAAGUAGUUUUUUCUGACUUUUUUAGAGGAAUUAUAUCAAGUGGACGGAAUAAUAGUCAUUCAGAUUCUCUUUGUGUAAUUGUUGCUCAAGUACCAAAGUUCUGUAUUCAGCAGUAAACAAGGAAGUUUCACAGUUUAGUUCUGUGGUGCAGCUUUAUGUCUUUGAGAGACUGAUUGUGAUUCCAUUGAUGCUAAAUUAUAAUAAGGGUUUGAAUUAUUUUGACUUUUCAUCAAUGAAUUGUUAACUGCACUUUUGACCUGUCAAAUUUGUCAUCAAAGAACCUAGUUCUAGUUUGUUAAAGGACCGGUUUAUAUUAUGCAAACUGUUUCCAUGAUGAAUUUGGUUGUGUUGGUGUGUGUGUUGAUGAUGCUGACAAUGGUGUCAGGCUACAAACAUGUCGUCUUCAUGCAUGGCAUUUUGGCUGGACCUUCCGAAUUUGACAAGUUUGCACAGCAGAUCAAAAUCGAUCACCCUGGUACCAACACAACACAGAUCAAUGCUUUUGUGGACGUGUACAGUCUGGAACCGAUGUGGAACCAGGUGGAGAAGAUUCAAAUCUUGUUCACUCAGAUUAUGGCAGACAACCCUGAUGGCAUCCAUCUUGUCUGUUUCUCUCAGGGUGGCUUGGUGUGUCGUGGUCUGAUGUCCAUGCUGCAACACAAUGUGGACACCUUCAUCGGUCUCAGCUGCCCCUUGGCUGGCCAGUAUGGAGACACCGACUACCUCAAGUACCUUUUCCCAAACUAUGUCAAGUCAAAUAUUUACAGAUAUUUCUACACUGACAUGGGGCAAAGAUGGUCUGUUGCAAACUAUUGGUAUGAUCCACAUCAUCAAGAUGAAUACCGCAAGUUCUCCGAAUAUCUGGCCGUCCUCAACAAUGACACUAUUAAUGGACAAAGUCAAACUUUCAAGGAGAACUUCUCUCGUUUGAAGAAGAUGGUGCUUGUUGGGGGUCCAGAUGACGGUGUGAUCACCCCCUGGCAAUCUAGUCAUUUUGGAAUGUACAACGGCAGUGAUGUGGUCCUCCCAAUGCAAGAACAGAGGUGGUACAGAGAGGACAGCUUUGGACUGCGCACACUGUACGAACGGAAGGCAAUUACGACCUUCACCUACAGCGGGAUUCCACAUAUCAAGUGGCACACCAACAUGGAUGUCUACAAGAAGAGUGUGGAACCAUUCCUCACAUAGACUGUGUGGGGAGCGUGAUUGUUGCCUGCGCCUUGUGUCUUGAUGUCUUCAAAAACAGUGAGUGUGGAACCAUUCCUCACAUAGACUGUGUGGGGAGUGUGAUUGUUGCCUGCGCCUUGUGUCUUGAUGUCUACAAAAACAGUGAGUGUGGAACCAUUCCUCACAUAGACUGUGUGGGGAGUGUGAUUGUUGUCUGCGCCUUGUGUCUUGAUGUCUACAAAAACAGUGACUGUGGAACCAUUCCUCACAUGGAUAGUGUGAGGAGUUUGACAGCAAUCUUCACCAUGUGUAUCGAUUUCUACAAGAAGAAUGUGGAACCUUUCCUCACAUGGACAGUGUGUGGAGUUUGACAGCAAUCUUCACCAUGUGUAUCGAUUUCUACAAGAAGAAUGUGGAACCUUUCCUCACAUGGACAGUGUGUGGAGUUUUAUCAUUGCCUUUACCUUGUAUGUCAAUAUGUACAAGUUGAGUGUGUAACAAUACCUCACAUAGUCAGUGUAUGGGAUCUGACGACCUAUUGGUACUGUGUCUAUAUUUAUUGCAGUUGAAAUAUGAAACUAGGAAAAUAUGUUGUCACGUAAGGGACGUGUCGGAUAUUGAUUUUCAAGAGGUAUUCUCUGCAUCACAUGUUUUUACUUUGCUUCUAUUUGAUUGUUUUAUACUGUGAUUUUGUUACAGCUAAACCAUUUUAUCUAAGGUUACGAUAUUUUGAUGUGUGCAAAAUGAAACAUUUUUUCGUGUUUAAGGGACAUUUUCAUACUAAUAAAAAAUACAGCUCAAUUUCAAACAGUUGAAUUAAAGUGCUUGCACACUGUUUUCAGUCAAGUAGUAAAUGUGUUGAAAAUCCCUGGAGACUGCAUGUAUUAAGAAGAAUUAACUUGACAAGCGUAAAUUAUUUUAUUGUGUUUUCUGGAACUGAGAUAUUUUUCAUAUCAUAGCAUGUUUUAGUGUAUUUUAUUUAUACUGUGAAUGUUGCUUUUACACGUUUGUAGUAAGUUGAUUUUAAUCAUAAUUUGUCAAUAUUUUUAAUGUGUACAGGAAUUGACAAGUAGCAUGUUUCAUGAGAUAUAUUCAGUCUAAAGCUGUUGAUUUUUUGUUUGAAUUUAAUUGAGAAUUUAAGAGUUUGUUUUAAUCAUACCUGUGGUAGUCACUGAAUUCAGAUCAAUAGUAUAACUAUGACAUUUAUAAUGUUCAUGCAUUAAUCCAAUGCAGAACACUCUUUUAAAAAGAGAUUUCUACAUUGGUGUUAUACAUGCAAAGUUAUUGAUUGUCGAUUGUUGAAUUUUUCCUCUGAUGUUUUUACAAUAAUUUGAUGUGAAGCUUUGUUGCCUAAUUAUUAUGGGUUUUUGUCGACAUUUAAAGAAUGUUUUCCUGCUACAGAGAAGCUCGUUUAAAUCAGAAAGUUAGUAAACAGUGUUAGUAAAAUGAACACAUUUCCAACGGGCACCAUCCAGAAAGAAGAUAUUCUGAAUAAUAGGAUCAAAACAAAUAGAGCUUCACUGUAGAAAGGGUUUCAUCCUUGGAAAGUAAGAGGUACUUCAGUGUCAAAAGAUGUGUCUUCCAAGUGGUGGGCUUUAUGUGAUAUGAAUACCGGUACUAUGCAAUCCAAGGGACAUCACUUGUGUCAGCUAGCCAGGACAACAUGCAGAUUUGUCUCAGGGGCCAAGGAGAGUUUUGAAGAGCAGAGAAUAUCAACCAAUUUUACCAAGCAGAGUAUAGGUCCUGUGCUUCAACAUGUUUCUGGUAUGUUUGGAGGAUAUAUCAGCAAUGUUUCUGGUAUAUAUCUAGGAUAUAUCAGCAAUGUUUCUGGUAUAUAUCUAGGAUAUAUCAGCUAGGUUUGUGAUAUAUAUCUCUGUUAUAUCAGCUAGGUUUCUGGUACAUAUCUAGGUUACUAGGUCAACUAUAUAGCAAGUUGUAUAGGUUUCUGCUAUACAUACUCAUAGAAAUGAAUAAGGGAACACAUGAAAAUACAAGUGUUCCUUUAGUUAUUUCCAGAAUUUCAUCCACAGUGCAAUACAUGCCUUGUAAAGAAACCUGGAAAAGAAUAAAGGAACACUUGUA